UAGUGGUGCAAUGGGCUGUGGAAUAGUUUUCCUUCUGAGGCGAAAAAUGCAUCCUCGCUUUACCAAUUUAAACGCAGUAUGUCCACUAUACCGGAGACUAGGAUGUGAGUUAAGAUAGUUUGUAAGUACAACACGCCCCAUCUGAAAAUCAACUCAUUGUAUUUUUACAACUAUGUUGUGUAUGGCCAGCGUGGUUAAAUAAAUGUUUAAGUAAGUAAGUAAGUAAAAAGAGUGCUGAACAUCAAGUAUUUAACAGAGCAAAUAGUAUUUUAACCUAACUCACAGAGUCACAAGUGAGUUCACGCUGAGUGCGAUCAUCAGGUGACGGUGUUACAAGUGACGGUUGAAUCACAGAGGAGAGAUAUACAGAGACGAAUCUCGCGGCAAAUUAUGUCACACCGAUCAAAUAAACUUUUAAAUUAUAUUCACUAUAAUUUUA
Molecule: non-coding RNA, 439 nt
Organism: Paramuricea clavata
Lineage: Eukaryota; Metazoa; Cnidaria; Anthozoa; Malacalcyonacea; Plexauridae
Source: the annotation of a GenBank genome assembly